CUACGGGGGGCUCCAGUGAGGAAUAUUGCACAAUGGGGGGAACCCUGAUGCAGCAACGCCGCGUGGAGGAUGACGCAUUUCGGUGUGUAAACUCCUUUUAUAUGUCAAGAAAAUGACGGUAGCAUAUGAAUAAGCACCGGCUAACUCCGUGCCAGCAGCCGCGGUAAUACGGAGGGUGCAAGCGUUACUCGGAAUCACUGGGCGUAAAGGACGCGUAGGCGGGGUGGAAAGUCAGGUGUGAAAUCCUACCGCUUAACUGUAGAACUGCACUUGAAACUUCUAAUCUAGAGUAUGGGGGGGGAGAUGGAAUUAGUGGUGUAGGGGUAAAAUCCGUAGAUACCACUAGGAAUACCUAAAGCGAAGGCGAUCUCCUGGAACAUUACUGACGCUAAGGCGUGAAAGCGUGGGGAGCAAACAGGAUUAGAUACCCCGGUAGUC
RNAcentral lists this ribosomal RNA (438 nucleotides) under uncultured bacterium. RNAcentral's name for it is "partial 16S ribosomal RNA". It matches the Rfam family "Bacterial small subunit ribosomal RNA", at positions 339 to 795 of the family's 1533-position model. The record is from RNAcentral.